GCCUGCAAAAUUCCAUGGCAUAUUGGAUCUGGCUUGAAGACCAAGAAUUACCAACCCACCGCUAGAAAGGCAAGCCCAUGUUAAUCCCAAUGCAAAGAAAGAGCUUGUGGAAUAAUGAAGAAUGACACCUCUGCUAUCUGGAUGCACUGAGGGGGAGCUUUUGUUUGGGAGGAACACGGGGCAUGGCCCAGAUGCACCCACAGAAGCACCAGUAUUUGGCCAUUUGGAUUUCACCUACUGGAUGAGAUGAAACAAGGCCAUGUGUUUUUCAUCACAGUUGCUAUUAGAGAAGACUAUGAACUGUCAGCAGUGGAAGGGGGACAAGACCCACUUUCUAUCACGACUGCCACCAAUGCAAGUCACCAAGGGAGAGGCCAAUCCAGCAUGUUAACUUUCAAUCAAGAACAAUGUACACUAUGUAUGUAAAGAUUUUCACACCUUUUCAACCUCAAAUGCUGUUUAUGGUCAAAAUCUUCCAAAAUGGAGUUCAUCUAACUUUUGGACUUUUACUGGCUUUGAAUAAAGUAAUUUGCAAAAAGUG
Long non-coding RNA from Hemicordylus capensis (graceful crag lizard), 541 nucleotides. RefSeq lists it as uncharacterized. The transcript is spliced from 4 exons. NCBI's taxonomy places the organism in Eukaryota, Metazoa, Chordata, Lepidosauria, Squamata, Cordylidae. The record is from RefSeq and is a predicted model, not a curated record.